This 74-nucleotide transfer RNA is filed under the name Candidatus Pacearchaeota archaeon. RNAcentral describes it as "tRNA-Lys". It matches the Rfam family "tRNA". From Rfam's summary of the family: Transfer RNA (tRNA) molecules are approximately 80 nucleotides in length. The record is from RNAcentral. Lineage: Archaea; Nanobdellati.
GGUCCCGUAGCUCAGUCCGGUAGAGUACCACGCUCUUAACGUGGGUGUCGCGGGUUCAAAUCCCGUCGGGACCA